CAGCAGCCGCGGUAAUACGUAGGGUGCGAGCGUUAAUCGGAAUUACUGGGCGUAAAGCGUGCGCAGGCGGUUUUGUAAGACAGGCGUGAAAUCCCCGGGCUCAACCUGGGAAUGGCGCUUGUGACUGCAAAGCUAGAGUGCGGCAGAGGGGGAUGGAAUUCCGCGUGUAGCAGUGAAAUGCGUAGAUAUGCGGAGGAACACCGAUGGCGGAGGCAAUCCCCUGGGCCUGCACUGACGCUCAUGCACGAAAGCGUGGGGAGCAAACAGGAUUAGAUACCCCCGUAGUCCCUGUCUCUUAUAC
RNAcentral lists this ribosomal RNA (301 nucleotides) under uncultured bacterium. RNAcentral describes it as "partial 16S ribosomal RNA". It matches the Rfam family "Bacterial small subunit ribosomal RNA", at positions 509 to 807 of the family's 1533-position model. The record is from RNAcentral.